AGAGAGAGACAUGCGCGCAUAUCAAUAGCGGAGGAAAAGAAACUAACAAGGAUUCCCUUAGUAACGGCGAGUGAAGCGGGAAGAGCUCAAAUUUGAAAUCUUCAAGGUUUUACCUUGACAAAUUGUAGUUUAAAGAAGUGUUUUCUGCUGAAGUUUUGGUAAAAGUUCUUUGGAAUAGGACAUCAUAGAGGGUGAGAAUCCCGUAUUUGACCAUUAUUUUCAGCUUUGUGAUACACUUUCAAAGAGUCGGAUUGUUUGGGAAUGCAGUCCAAAAUGGGUGGUAAAUUUCAUCUAAAGCUAAAUAUUGGCGAGAGACCGAUAGCGAACAAGUACCGUGAGGGAAAGAUGAAAAGAACUUUGAAAAGAGAGUUAAACAGUACGUGAAAUUGUCAAAAGGGAAGCGUUUGACACCAGUGUUGUUUUCUCGAAAAUCAAUUAAAAGUGGCUCGAUUUUGUAUUGCUUGAGACCUUAAAAGCUCACUGUACAUUUUUCGUGUCCUUUUUAAUGCACUUUUCGUUUAACAAGUCAACAUCAGUUUCUUUUGUUGUAAAAGGGUCAUUGGAAGGUGGCUUUCUUUUCGGAGAAAGUGUUUAUAGCCUUUGGCCUCUGCAAUCGGAGAGACUGAGGUCUGCAGCGUAGACUCUUCGGGGUUAGAUACAUUUGUGCUAAGUUAUAGCUUUUUAUAGACAACUUGUUGACUAUAAUUAGUCUUGUAGCUUACUCGCUUAUGCUAUUUUACCUACGCUUAGGAUGUUGAAGAUGUAGCACAUCAU
Molecule: ribosomal RNA, 774 nt
Filed under: uncultured Neocallimastigales
Lineage: Eukaryota; Fungi; Neocallimastigomycota; Neocallimastigomycetes; Neocallimastigales
Description: partial large subunit ribosomal RNA
Rfam family: Eukaryotic large subunit ribosomal RNA
Source: RNAcentral